Cairina moschata (Muscovy duck) is the source of this 1716-nucleotide long non-coding RNA. The record is from Ensembl. Lineage: Eukaryota; Metazoa; Chordata; Aves; Anseriformes; Anatidae.
CAACAGCCAGCGCCGCGCUGCUUCCCUGCUGCAUCAAGGAGGGAGAGCCCGUCCCUGGUCUGCUCAAGGACCGGGUCUUCCAAACACUGGUGUUGCACCUCAGCCUUUUUUCUUCUCACAUUUGUGUUUUUAGGGCAACUUUUCUGCCCAGCCAACAGCUGAGAGAAAAAAAGGCUGCACCUAAAAAUAACCGUGCUGCGCUGACAGCAGUGAGUCACCACAGCACCAAGAGACAACAGCCGUGGCAGGAGGCAGCCGCCCGCCCUUCAGCCUCACACGUUCAUGGGCCUGGGUCAUGGUGCUGGGCGCUUCCUCCCCCAUGAAAACUCCUCUUCCUGAGAACACAGAUCCACACGUACAUCGAUAUUGAUACUGAGGUAAAACACACUGCUUUCCCUCACCCCGAUGGCUUAGACAUUGCAAACCGUUACUGAGUGUACCUCCCACCCCCCGUGCAUCCAGGUUGGCAGAAAAAAAGGUGAUUUUUUCCCUAACCCUGAGAUGAAACAACCCCCAUUUGCUGGAGCUCUCUUCUUUGGGAGGUAUUUCUGGAGGGAAAGAAGAGCUGCUGUUAAUGAUAAUAAUUAAUCAUUAGUGAUAACAACCAAGGGAAGCACUGAAAAGGUCAUCGAGUGACUCCUGUGUCUUAAUUUGCAGGGAGGCUCCUUUUUCUUUGAUUUCCCAUGAAUUCAGUUAUUUUUUCACCCUGUCCCCUGCAGUCUGGGCAGUGCUAUCAGGCAGCCUGGGGUCUGGCAGGGUUCUGGGUUUGACCACUGCGGUUCCCCCUCCACGGGGUGCAGAGGAAGGACAUCCCAGCGGGGUUUCUCCCGCUCGCUGCCUCGAGGCUGCGUCCCGAAGAACCUGACCUCGGCCCGAGGCCACCCUGAUAGGGGUGUGCCAGCAGCAGCUGCGGCAGCCCCACAAGUGCUGCAAGGAGACCCUGUUGGAGAGAAAGCCUGCUCCAUGGAGCCAUCCCUAAGGAUGCCUCACCUUUCAGGUUAAAUCUCGCUCAGGCAGCAGAAGGACUGGAGCUCACCCAGCACCUGGGCUGGGGAGGAGCAGCCAAAAAAACCCCACGGCGCAAACCUCUCCUGGGCCAACGCACGCCCCGGCGCAGGCAGGGUAGGGAGGCAGGAUGUGGCCCCGGCUCGCCUUCCCCACGGCCACGCCGCCCAACGAGGCAGCCUGGGGUGGCAAGCCGCAGUGUAAUUAACCAGCAUGAUAGAGCACGGAGGGGCCUGGUCGGCUCCAGCUCUGCAAGAGGGAUUUUGGCUUUGCACCUGCCCCGGUGCCGGGGGAGACAGUUGGGUGCAGUGGGACAGCACCCCCGAGCAGGGACCCUGAUGAGCAGCAGCAAGGUGCGAGGGGGCCCUGCUUUGUGGGCUGGGUGCCCUGCAUCACCUUGGGGUGACCUGUGCCACCAGGACAGGCAGGGAUGCUGCCUCCCAGAGAUUUUGGAAGUCAAAGCAAGGUCAUCUUCAGAGCGGGAGCUGGGCAGGAGGCGAUGCUGGGGCUUGCGGCGUUCCCACGCAGGCGCUUUGAUCCCUCACUGAAUUUGUAGCCUCCAAAAUACCUGUGGCUUUUGAAUUAUACCCUGAGCCUACCAUUCCCUGCCUUUUUUCUUGCUUUUUCACCCGCUUGCCCAAGCUGCCUGUGGCCUGCUCUCUGAAUUCCUCAGCUCCUUUGAGGUUGGCAGCCCUGAUAUUUUGGGGAAAG